RNAcentral lists this microRNA precursor (188 nucleotides) under Oryza rufipogon (brownbeard rice). RNAcentral's name for it is "MIR812 microRNA precursor family". It matches the Rfam family "MIR812 microRNA precursor family". Lineage: Eukaryota; Viridiplantae; Streptophyta; Magnoliopsida; Poales; Poaceae. The record is from Rfam by way of RNAcentral.
AGAAAGACAAACCUUGAAUUUCUACGUUCAACGUUUGAUUUUUCAUCUUAUAUAAAUUUUUUUUACAAUUAAUAUUUUUAUCAUCUUAAACAUGAUUAAUAUUUUAUGCGUGACUUGUCCUUUUAAAUUUUUUAUAUUUUUUUAAAUAAUAUGGACGGUCAAACAUUAGAUAUGGAAACCUAGGUUUG